This 377-nucleotide unclassified non-coding RNA is filed under the name fungal sp. Its description in RNAcentral is "partial internal transcribed spacer region". The stretch from base 1 to 46 matches the Rfam family "Eukaryotic small subunit ribosomal RNA", at positions 1786 to 1831 of the family's 1831-position model. Lineage: Eukaryota; Fungi. The record is from RNAcentral.
AAGUCGUAACAAGGUUUCCGUAGGUGAACCUGCGGAAGGAUCAUUAUUACGAAAUCAAAAAUCGUAACCCCAAACAACAAAUUGUGCAUUUCUGUACUGUUCCGGUAGUUUCAUUUGACCUUUGUAAAGGCUUACUUUGAUGUGCUUGCUUCAAAAACAUGCAUAUUCAAAGCACUUCUGAGCAGAUGAAGUGAACGGGUCUUUUUCGUCGAAUGAUUUCAAACUACCGGUUAGUAUUAUCUGCUCACACACUUAACAAACCAUUAACCCCAUGUAACUAUUUUGAACUAAAUACAUCUGACGCAUGCAUCUCAUGUAUGUGUCUGAAUCAAAACCGAACUUAAGAACAACUCUUAACAACGGAUAUCUUGGUUCUC